CGCGUAGGCGGGCGGCCAAGUCAAGGGUGAAAGCCUCCAGCUCAACUGGAGAAGUGCCUUUGAUACUGGCCAUCUUGAGGGAGGUAGGGGCGUGCGGAACUUCCGGUGGAGCGGUGAAAUGCGUAGAUAUCGGAAGGAACACCGGUGGCGAAAGCGGCGCGCUGGACCUCUUCUGACGCUGAGGCGCGAAAGCCAGGGGAGCAAACG
This 207-nucleotide ribosomal RNA is filed under the name uncultured bacterium. RNAcentral describes it as "partial 16S ribosomal RNA". It matches the Rfam family "Bacterial small subunit ribosomal RNA", at positions 568 to 774 of the family's 1533-position model. The record is from RNAcentral.